UACGGAGGAUCCGAGCGUUAUCCGGAUUUAUUGGGUUUAAAGGGCGCGCAGGCGGAAGAUUAAGUCGGCGGUGAAAUUUUGCAGCUCAACUGUAAAAGUGCCUUCGAAACUGGUUUCCUUGAGUGUAGAUGAAGUAGGCGGAAUUUGUGGUGUAGCGGUGAAAUGCAUAGAUAUCACGAGGAACUCCGAUUGCGCAGGCAGCUUACUAAACUACUACUGACGCUCAGGCACGAAGACGUGGGGAUCAAACAGGAUUAGAUACCCGGGUAGUCCCU
RNAcentral lists this ribosomal RNA (275 nucleotides) under uncultured prokaryote. RNAcentral describes it as "partial 16S ribosomal RNA". It matches the Rfam family "Bacterial small subunit ribosomal RNA", at positions 524 to 798 of the family's 1533-position model. The record is from RNAcentral.